This 567-nucleotide ribosomal RNA is filed under the name uncultured bacterium. RNAcentral's name for it is "bacterial SSU rRNA". It matches the Rfam family "Bacterial small subunit ribosomal RNA", at positions 8 to 572 of the family's 1533-position model. The record is from RNAcentral.
AGAGUUUGAUCCUGCUCAGGAUGAACGCUGGCGGCGUGCUUAACACAUGCAAGUCGAACGGAGGACCCUUGAAGGAGUUUUCGGACAACUGAUAGGAAUCCUUAGUGGCGGACGGGUGAGUAACGCGUGAGUAACCUGCCUUGGAGUGGGGAAUAACAGCUGGAAACAGCUGCUAAUACCGCAUAAUAUAUCUGGGUCGCAUGGCUCUGGAUAUCAAAGAUUUAUCGCUCUGAGAUGGACUCGCGUCUGAUUAGCUAGUUGGUGGGGCAACGGCCCACCAAGGCGACGAUCAGUAGCCGGACUGAGAGGUUGGCCGGCCACAUUGGGACUGAGACACGGCCCAGACUCCUACGGGAGGCAGCAGUGGGGAAUAUUGGGCAAUGGGCGGAAGCCUGACCCAGCAACGCCGCGUGAAGGAAGAAGGCUUUCGGGUUGUAAACUUCUUUUCUGAGGGACGAAGCAAGUGACGGUACCUUANGAAUAAGCCACGGCUAACUACGUGCCAGCAGCCGCGGUAAUACGUAGGUGGCAAGCGUUAUCCGGAUUUACUGGGUGUAAAGGGCGUGU